GGAGUGGUCCGGACGGUCGCGUUGGAUGCUUGCAUCCACCGAGGAAAGUCCGGGCUGCACAGGGCAGAACGCCGGCUAACGGCCGGUGGGGGCGACCCCGAGGAAAGUGCCACAGAAAACAGACCGCCGUGGCUUGCCACGGUAAGGGUGAAAAGGUGCGGUAAGAGCGCACCGCCCGGUCUGGUAACAGACCGGGGCACGGUAAACCCCGUUCGCAGCAAGGCCAAAUAGGGAAGUAUUGGCGCGGCCCGCGUUUGCUUCCGGGUAGGCUGCUCGAGCCUGCCGGUAACGGCAGGCCUAGAUGAAUGACCGUCAUCCCGCUUGCGGGAGACAGAACCCGGCUUACAGGGCCACUCCGUAU
Molecule: RNase P RNA, 361 nt
Filed under: Mariprofundus ferrinatatus
Lineage: Bacteria; Pseudomonadati; Pseudomonadota; Candidatius Mariprofundia; Mariprofundales; Mariprofundaceae
Description: Bacterial RNase P class A
Rfam family: Bacterial RNase P class A
About the family: Ribonuclease P (RNase P) is a ubiquitous endoribonuclease, found in archaea, bacteria and eukarya as well as chloroplasts and mitochondria. Its best characterised activity is the generation of mature 5'-ends of tRNAs by cleaving the 5'-leader elements of precursor-tRNAs. Cellular RNase Ps are ribonucleoproteins.
Source: Rfam by way of RNAcentral